GAGUUUUGAUCGUGGCUCAGGACGAACGCUGGCGGCGUGCUUAACACAUGCAAGUCGAGCGGAAAGGCCCUUCGGGGUACUCGAGCGGCGAACGGGUGAGUAACACGUGAGUAACCUGCCCUGGACUUUGGGAUAACCCUCGGAAACGGGGGCUAAUACCGGAUAUCUACUUCUGGCCGCAUGGUUGGUUGUGGAAAGUUUUUCGGUCUGGGAUGGGCUCGCGGCCUAUCAGCUUGUUGGUGGGGUGAUGGCCUACCAAGGCGACGACGGGUAGCCGGCCUGAGAGGGCGACCGGCCACACUGGGACUGAGACACGGCCCAGACUCCUACGGGAGGCAGCAGUGGGAAUAUUGCACAAUGGGCGGAAGCCUGAUGCAGCGAACGCCGCGUGAGGGAUGACGGCC
RNAcentral lists this ribosomal RNA (404 nucleotides) under uncultured Actinomycetes bacterium. Its description in RNAcentral is "bacterial SSU rRNA". It matches the Rfam family "Bacterial small subunit ribosomal RNA", at positions 9 to 416 of the family's 1533-position model. The record is from RNAcentral. Lineage: Bacteria; Bacillati; Actinomycetota; Actinomycetes.